RNAcentral lists this ribosomal RNA (477 nucleotides) under uncultured Oceanospirillaceae bacterium. Its description in RNAcentral is "bacterial SSU rRNA". It matches the Rfam family "Bacterial small subunit ribosomal RNA", at positions 97 to 570 of the family's 1533-position model. Lineage: Bacteria; Pseudomonadati; Pseudomonadota; Gammaproteobacteria; Oceanospirillales; Oceanospirillaceae. The record is from RNAcentral.
GGCGGACGGGUGAGUAACGCGUAGGAAUCUACCUAAUAGUGGGGGAUAGCCCAGGGAAACUUGGAUUAAUACCGCAUACGCCCUAAGGGGGAAAGCGGGGGAUCUUCGGACCUCGUGCUAUUAGAUGAGCCUGCGUAAGAUUAGCUAGUUGGUGAGGUAAGAGCUCACCAAGGCGACGAUCUUUAGCUGGUCUGAGAGGAUGAUCAGCCACACUGGGACUGAGACACGGCCCAGACUCCUACGGGAGGCAGCAGUGGGGAAUAUUGGACAAUGGGGGCAACCCUGAUCCAGCCAUGCCGCGUGUGUGAAGAAGGCCUUCGGGUUGUAAAGCACUUUCAGAUGUGAGGAAAGGUUGCAGAUUAAUACUCUGUAGCUGUGACGUUAACAUCAGAAGAAGGACCGGCUAACUCCGUGCCAGCAGCCGCGGUAAUACGGAGGGUCCGAGCGUUAAUCGGAAUUACUGGGCGUAAAGCGCGC